RNAcentral lists this ribosomal RNA (450 nucleotides) under uncultured bacterium. RNAcentral's name for it is "partial 16S ribosomal RNA". It matches the Rfam family "Bacterial small subunit ribosomal RNA", at positions 354 to 796 of the family's 1533-position model. The record is from RNAcentral.
GUGGGGAAUCUUCCGCAAUGGACGAAAGUCUGACGGAGCGACGCCGCGUGAGUGAAGAAGGCCUUCGGGUCGUAAAGCUCUGUCAUCAGGGACGAACGGCCGGUGGAGUGGAAAGCCACCGGAUUGACGGUACCUGAGAAGGAAGCCACGGCUAACUACGUGCCAGCAGCCGCGGUAAUACGUAGGUGGCAAGCGUUGUCCGGAAUUAUUGGGCGUAAAGCGCGCGCAGGUGGGAUCUUAAGUCCAUUUUUAAAGUUCGGAGCUCAACUCCGUGAUGGGAUGGAAACUGGGAUUCUUGAGUACCGGAGAGGAAAGCGGAAUUCCCCGUGUAGCGGUGAAAUGCGUAGAUAUGGGGAGGAACACCAGUGGCGAAGGCGGCUUCCUGGCACAAUACUGACGCUCAUGUGCGAAAGCUAGGGCAGCGAACGGGAUUAGAAACCCCUGUAGUCC